UUGUUUUGCUUUUAUCUAAGCCAAGGGGACUGAAAUUUCCAUUUUAGAAAAUGUCGAUCAGAGACACAGCUCUUUAAACGUGGUUUAUUUUCUAGUUUGUUCUUGAAUAACAUUUACUCUUCAUUUGAUUUGCAAUAUUUUAUAGAGAAAUUGCCAGUCCCAUUGAAUGUUAUACACAAUGUGCGUUUAAGAGUAGAAAGACUUUUUCAAAAUGAAUCCAAAAAAUACUUAGGUUCAACGAAUGGCUACGUGUUCGCUUACUAGGCGAACGAUUGUGGAUUCCUCAGGAACUCAAUUGAUUGAUUGGUCUUAUUCAAGGCUAGAGGCGAAUGAAUUUUGCAGUUCAAAGUCUCUAUAAUCGUACAAAUGAAUCAAUCAAAUAUUCAUCUUAAAGCCUACUUGAGUCUCUAACUGCUAUUUGCAUAAGCAAGCAAUUAUCAAACAGAUCUCCAGAUCUCCAGAGAAGUCCUUCAAUAAGCCUUAACAUGUGGCGUCAUUGAAAUGUAGUGUUUUGAAAAAGUCCUGUCCGCUUCAAAGAACGCGCUUUGUUAUUUUUUGUAUUUUAUUUCAUGUGAUGAUACUGAUGACGAGACUGAAACAUAAUCACGCGACAUCAAUGUAUUUUGUGUUUUACAGAAUCAUGACGUUACGAUUAUGUUUUUGAUGAUUUGGCGACUGAUCAGUUUGUUCAUUACAAUUUGUUCUCUCUGUUCGUCACAUAUAUCUCAACUAAAAUGAUGUUUUCGUUUGAUUAAACAGGCCAACUCCAUCGAUGGAAACAGUUGCGCUUCAAAUUUUGACUGUAGACAACGCAUGGAAACAUGUGAAACGCUCAUUGAAACAAGUCCUAAAUGUUCGAUGAUUUUGGAGUUUAAAUCUAUAAAGCCAAAUGAAAAAUGAUGAUGAUUUCCAGCACAUUUGCUCAUUUGAUAAAGCUGAGUUCAAGCUGAAACCAUGAUUGAUUGGGUUAGCAAUAUAAUAUUGUAAGCCGCAGUGGUGAUUCUGCCAUGAUCAUGUUCGAGCUUUGAGUAGAAUUGGAUUUUCUGCACGAACAGUUACCAAGUGUCGUUAUAAUUCAUGCGAUUUGACGUCCUUCUACUAUUUCUUGUGGAGCUACGCGUAAUACUAACCCUCAAAGUCUUGAGUAGCUAAACAGCUAUAUUUUAAUUAUUUUUCGAAUAUUGAAGAAGAAGAGUUGAGACGGUGGUAUGGUGAGUAGUUUGUAUAUUGUUGCAUUACAAAAAAUAAAAUGAAAAAUAAAUAAAAAAAUAA
Molecule: long non-coding RNA, 1272 nt
Organism: Toxorhynchites rutilus septentrionalis
Lineage: Eukaryota; Metazoa; Arthropoda; Insecta; Diptera; Culicidae
Exons: 3
Source: RefSeq, a predicted model, not a curated record